RNAcentral lists this transfer RNA (78 nucleotides) under Mycobacterium tuberculosis T92. RNAcentral describes it as "tRNA-Arg". It matches the Rfam family "tRNA". From Rfam's summary of the family: Transfer RNA (tRNA) molecules are approximately 80 nucleotides in length. Lineage: Bacteria; Bacillati; Actinomycetota; Actinomycetes; Mycobacteriales; Mycobacteriaceae. The record is from RNAcentral.
GCGCCCCGUAGCUCAGGGGAUAGAGCGUCUGCCUCCGGAGCAGAAAGGCCGCAGGUUCGAAUCCUGCCGGGGGCACAA